Molecule: long non-coding RNA, 1837 nt
Organism: Rhopalosiphum padi (bird cherry-oat aphid)
Lineage: Eukaryota; Metazoa; Arthropoda; Insecta; Hemiptera; Aphididae
Exons: 2
Source: RefSeq, a predicted model, not a curated record
AUCACAUGUCUACGUCUAUUAUUCUAUGUUAUCUCAUUUACUCAAUGUAUUAUCCUAUGUAUUCAGAUUGUAAAUAUCUUUUAUAAAUAAUAAUAAAACAAUUAUCUUCCAUACUCACCAGUCUGUUAUUUUAUAAUAUGAUACAUAUCCAAGUAUAAUAUAUAAGUUAAUGCAUGUCGCAUUAGCUAUACCUAUAGGCAUAGGCAUAAAUAGAGGAGCGCUUUGGGGGUAUUAACACCCUCAAAUAUUUUUUUUAUACUAUUACAAUCAGUAGCUAUUCUACGCUAUGCCCGGAAAAUGAAGAGAUUAAGCAGCUUGUCAACAUCUGAGAGACUUUAUCCUCUAUGAAGAGGAUAAAUACGUAUCUAAGAUCUAAAAUUGAACAAACAAUAAACAAGUUUUAUGUGAAGAAUAAAAUGUUGUAAUUUUAAAAUAAUCAAUAUUAUAUAAUAUAUAGGUAUAUAAAACUGUUUUUAUUAAAUUUUAAUACAAUACAUUAAUAUUUUGACUGUUUUGAAUUGUAUCAUAGAUAAAGUUGUACCUAUGUAUGUAGUAUGUAGUUGGUGAAUCUCCCACUCUUUUUAUUCUUGAAGAUCAUAAUUUACAUCCAUGAUACACAGUUAAAUAUUAUACAAUAUGUAAUUUUUACUUUUUUAUCUGGUGAAAUCAAUAAUCAAACAAGAAUAUAAUUUUUUUUUUUUUAAUAUUGUUAUACUUUUUAUGUAUAACUAUAUAAUGCUUAAAAAAUCUAAUAUUAUGUCCAAAUUUUUACAAAAAAAAAAUAUGUAUAUAUAUUCUAUCAAAAAUACUUAAAUACCCACAGCAAUAAUUAUAUUUUUAGUUUAAAAUUUAUAAAGUUAUUUUUAAGUAUUAGCUUCUUAGCCUUUAGAAAGAAGUUAUCCAAAUAUUAAUCUCAUUUGCUUCUAAUAUAUAUAGUACCAUAUUCUUAGUAGUAGUGUGAUUUUAAAUAUAAUACCCAUAUUCAUAGGUAAUAGGUAUAACAAAUUACAAAUUAAAUAUAAUAAAAUGAAACACAAUACACAUAUUAUUACAGUGGCAGAUUUGAGGGGGGGACUUGGUGAUUAACCCCCCCCCCACCAUUGGGCUUUUUUUUUAAGGGGAUGCGCAGAACAAACUGAUUUUUUUCGGGCCGUGGCGUGCUCCCUUGCUGAACAGAGUGUAGUAUCUAUCAAUCUAUGAUACAAAUUCGCCCCCUCCUUAAAUGAGCUUCAGAUCCACUACUGUAUUAUUACUAAAAAGUUUUAAGCCUCUCUACAAACAACUAAUUUGACCUGCGAUGACUUAUAGCAUCCAAAUCUGGGGAUCGACCAAAGUUUCAAAUCUAAAAUUAUUCCAAUCUUUUCAGUCUAUAAACUUAUGUUUAUUAACCAAAGCUCCCUGGUACAUUAGCAAUAAAACUCUUCAUAAUGAUCUCAAAAUUCCUACUCUCUCUGAACUUGCUUCCACUCACUAUAUAAAAUUUCACUCCAACACAUUGAUUCACUCAAAUUCUCUAACAUCAAAUCUAUCCUCUCUCAGUCUCUUAUUAUCCCAGAUAAUCCUCCCCGAUGCUUAAAGCGUAAUUAGCCAUGUAAUCUCCUAAACAAAUAAUUUUCGGUGUAAAGUACUAAAAAAAAAUCUAAAUUAGUCUAAAAUCUAAUAAACAAAAACUAAAAAAAAAACUCAUUCAAGCUGAAGUAGCGUCACUAGACGCCCCCCUUCUCUCAAGCUGUCAAUCCUGUGUAAACUUAUAUUAUAUAUAUUAUUUAUUGUAAUUUUGUUAUAUACAGAUUGUAAAUAAAAUUAAAAAAAUAAAAGUUUUAAACUUAAUAUUUUA